Molecule: ribosomal RNA, 190 nt
Filed under: uncultured bacterium
Lineage: Bacteria
Description: partial 16S ribosomal RNA
Rfam family: Bacterial small subunit ribosomal RNA
Source: RNAcentral
UUACGCCUUCAUGAAGCCGGAAUUGCUAGUAAUGGCAGGUCAGCAUACUGCCGUGAAUACGUUCCCGGGCCUUGUACACACCGCCCGUCACACCAUGAGAGUUGGGAAUACCCGAAGCCUGUGAGCUAACUAAUAGAGGCAGCAGUCGAAGGUAGAAUCAAUGAUUGGGGUGAAGUCGUAACAAGGUACC